Juglans microcarpa x Juglans regia is the source of this 1482-nucleotide RNA transcript. It is a transcript of the gene named 12-oxophytodienoate reductase 1-like, with no coding region annotated. NCBI's taxonomy places the organism in Eukaryota, Viridiplantae, Streptophyta, Magnoliopsida, Fagales, Juglandaceae. The transcript is spliced from 5 exons. The record is from RefSeq and is a predicted model, not a curated record.
UGCCAUUUUUAUUCAUCUCGCUUCUCUUUGUAUUCAGGAAGAGACAGACGGAGCACACCCAAUUGGAAGAAGAAUAUACCAAUCUCAGUUCUUGCGAAAUGGCUGAAGCUGCCACCAUACCUCUUCUCACUCCUUACAAAAUGGGGAAGUUCGAUCUAUCCCAUAGAGUAGUGUUGUCACCAUUAACCCGACAGAGAUCUUUUGGCAAUAUUCCUCAGCCGCAUGCUAUCUUAUACUAUACUCAGAGAACCUCCAAAGGCGGUCUUCUGAUAGCUGAAGGCACUGUAAUCUCCAGAACUGCUCUGGGGUAUCCGGACACACCUGGCAUAUGGACGGAAGAGCAGGUUGAAGCAUGGAAACCCAUUGUAGAUGCCGUUCAUGCCAAAGGUGGAGUCUUCUUUUGUCAACUUUGGCAUGUGGGGAGGGUCUCAAAUGAAGAAAUACAGCCAAAUGGACAACCUCCAGUUUCUUCUACUGACAAAGGUAUCAACGCCAAACCAACUCCAGCUGCUGGAUUUGGUCUCUCACACUACUCUCCUCCAAGGAGGCUAAGGACAGAUGAAAUUCCUCAAAUUGUCGAGGAGUUUAGGGUUGCCGCAAGGAAUGCUAUUAAAGCUGGAUUUGAUGGAGUUGAAAUCCAUGGGGCUAUGGUUACAUUCUUGAACAGUUUAUGAAAGACCAAGUGAAUGAUAGAACAGAUGAAUAUGGUGGAUCUCUUGAAAAUCGAUGUCGAUUAACUCUGGAAGUAGUCGAAGCUGUUGCCAAUGAGGUAGGAGCAGAUAAGGUUGGAAUAAGGCUUAGUCCUUUUGCAGACAAUAUGGAAUGUGGAGACUCAAAUCCACAAGCAUUGGGCCUUUACAUGGCUAAAUCCCUGAAUAAAUAUGGAAUUCUUUAUUUGCACAUGGUUGAGCCAAGGAGGGCUAGUGAUGAAGUAGAAACUGAAUCAUCUCCCAGUCUUCUGCCAAUGAGAAAGGCUUUCAAGGGUACUUUUCUUGUUAAUGGCGGUUUUGACAGGGAAUCAGGAAACCAGGCCAUUGCUGAAAAUCGUGCAGAUCUUGUUGUCUAUGGUCGUUUGUUUUUGGCCAAUCCAGAUUUGCCUCGAAGAUUUGAACUCAAUGCCCCUCUCAACAAGUAUAAUCGAGAAACAUUCUACAUCCCGGAGCCUGUUAUUGGUUAUACCGAUUAUCCUUUCCUUGAAGACACUCAUGCAUAGGUUUAUAAUGAAGAGAGGAGGGAGAUUUAGAGUAUCCGGAAUAACCCCUCCUUAGUAAUCCCUAUGUUUUAUCUUUGGUGUGGUUUCUUAUUGUAUUGUACAAGAGCGUUUGAUGGCAUGACUAUUCAUAAAUCUUGGGACUUUGCAAUUAAGGCGCAAUGGGUCAUGCACUUCUUGGUGUUUGAUCUCACAUGCAUGCCUUGCUACAAAUAAAUUGAGUUGUAAUUCUGCACUUGGUAUAUAUUUCAAGCCAUGAUUGUUUAGCAUUA